AUUGAACGCUGGCGGCAUGCUUUACACAUGCAAGUCGAACGGUAACAGGCCGCAAGGUGCUGACGCGUGUCGCACGGGUGUGUAAUGCAUCGGAACGUGCCCCGUCGUGGGGGGUAACUACUCGAAAGAGUAGCUAAUACCCCAUACGCUCUAUGGAUGAGAGCGGGGGACCGUGAGGCCUCGCGCGAUUGUAGCGGCCGAUGUCGGAUUAGGUAGUUGGUGGGGUAAAGGCUCACCAAGCCAACGAUCUGUAGCUGGUCUGAGAGGACGACCAGCCACACUGGGACUGAGACACGGCCCAGACUCCUACGGGAGGCAGCAGUGGGGAAUUUUGGACAAUGGGCGCAAGCCUGAUCCAGCAAUGCCGCGUGCAGGAAGAAGGCCUUCGGGUUGUAAACUGCUUUUGUACGGGAAGAAACGGUUCUGGUUAAUACCCGGGGGUAAUGACGGUACCGGAAGAAUAAGCACCGGCUAACUACGUG
RNAcentral lists this ribosomal RNA (482 nucleotides) under uncultured bacterium. RNAcentral describes it as "partial 16S ribosomal RNA". It matches the Rfam family "Bacterial small subunit ribosomal RNA", at positions 30 to 507 of the family's 1533-position model. The record is from RNAcentral.